Molecule: RNA transcript, 973 nt
Organism: Cucumis sativus (cucumber)
Lineage: Eukaryota; Viridiplantae; Streptophyta; Magnoliopsida; Cucurbitales; Cucurbitaceae
Gene name: serine/threonine-protein kinase STY46-like
Exons: 5
Source: RefSeq, a predicted model, not a curated record
GCAGGAUUGAUGAAGAGGAAAAGUUUAUCUUUAUUUUUAUGUUAUGCUGAUUUGUCCUUCUUGAUGCUAUACUUCUUAGAUGUGGUUCUGAAGGAAAAGGAAAAAUAAUUUGUGGCUUGAAGCAGUAAUUCAUCAUAGUAGAAAGGGUCAUUAUAGUUGGAGGAACUAAUGUUCUUAGUUAAGCGUUUAUGCUUUUGGUAACAUUCUCAUGUUUGUAGCACAACUAUUUGAAGAAAAUUAGUUGUAAAUACCGAAUAUGAUUUAUUGGACUUAGCUAAAUUUUUUAUUAUAUGUGAGACAUUCAUAGCAGAAAUUACCUUUCAGUUGACGUCCUUACUUUCUGAGAUUGGGCUGAAUAUUCAAGAAGCACAUGCUUUUUCAACAACAGAUGGCUUUUCCUUGGAUGUUUUUGUAGUUGAUGGUUGGGUAAUUGAGGAUACCAAGCAGCUAAAAGAUAUACUGGCAGAAGAAAUAUCAAAGAUUCAGAAAAGGCAUCCUCUAUUCACACCUUGCAUUUUCCAUACUGAGAAGCAAGAAAUUCAUAUCAUGAGAAAACUUCGGCACAAGAAUGUUGUCCAAUUUAUUGGUGCAUCUACCAGGCCUCCAAGCCUUUUCAUUGUUACAGAGUACAUGUCUGGUGGAAGCUUACACGACUUUUUACAUCAACAAAAGGCCGUUCUUAGUUUUCCUUCCUUACUAAGAGUGGCAGUUGAUGUGUCGAAGGGAAUGGACUAUUUGCAUCAAAAGAAUAUCAUCCAUAGAGAUCUAAAAGCUGCAAAUCUUUUGAUGGAUGAAUAUGGGGUAAGAAGAAAUAAAACUUUUGCAUUUACUUCGUGAGUUGAUCAAUAAGACGUGCUUAUUAACUUACCAAGUCAUUUUGACACACUCUUCUGUUUCCUAUUAGUUUUAAAAGCAUGCUUACUGGUAUUCAAUUUGAUGGCAAUAUUAUGUAUCUUCAUUUCAUAACCAUUGA